Molecule: ribosomal RNA, 274 nt
Filed under: Epsilonematidae sp. 476_5-1000
Lineage: Eukaryota; Metazoa; Nematoda; Chromadorea; Desmodorida; Epsilonematidae
Also listed under: 3 other names
Description: partial 18S ribosomal RNA
Rfam family: Eukaryotic small subunit ribosomal RNA
Source: RNAcentral
UUGGCUCAUUACAACAGCCGUUGUUUCUUGGAUCUUGAUUUACUUGGAUAACUGUGGUAAUUCUAGAGCUAAUACAUGCAACCAAGCUCCGACUUUCGGGAAGGAGCGCAUUUAUUAGACCAAGACCAAUCGGGCUUCGGCCCGUCAUCUGGUGACUCUGAAUAACUGUGCAGAUCACACGGUCCUAGCACCGGUGACAUAUCUUUCAAGUGUCUGCCCUAUCAACUUUCGAUGGUAGUUUAUGCGCCUACCAUGGUUGUAACGGGUAACGGAA